AGUGAACGCUGGCGGUAGGCCUAACACAUGCAAGUCGAGCGGCAGCACAGUAAGAGCUUGCUCUUACGGGUGGCGAGUGGCGGACGGGUGAGGAAUACAUCGGAAUCUACUUUUUCGUGGGGGAUAACGUAGGGAAACUUACGCUAAUACCGCAUACGACCUACGGGUGAAAGCAGGGGAUCUUCGGACCUUGCGCGAUUGAAUGAGCCGAUGUCGGAUUAGCUAGUUGGCGGGGUAAAGGCCCACCAAGGCGACGAUCCGUAGCUGGUCUGAGAGGAUGAUCAGCCACACUGGAACGUAGACACGGUCCAGACUCCUACGGGAGGCAGCAGUGGGGAAUAUUGGACAAUGGGCGCAAGCCUGAUCCAGCCAUACCGCGUGGGUGAAGAAGGCCUUCGGGUUGUAAAGCCCUUUUGUUGGGAAAGAAAAGCAGCAGGUUAAUACCCCGCUGUUCUGACGGUACCCAAAGAAUAAGCACCGGCUAACUUCGUG
Molecule: ribosomal RNA, 492 nt
Filed under: uncultured bacterium
Lineage: Bacteria
Description: partial 16S ribosomal RNA
Rfam family: Bacterial small subunit ribosomal RNA
Source: RNAcentral